Molecule: long non-coding RNA, 1556 nt
Organism: Oncorhynchus keta (chum salmon)
Lineage: Eukaryota; Metazoa; Chordata; Actinopteri; Salmoniformes; Salmonidae
Exons: 2
Source: RefSeq, a predicted model, not a curated record
UUCCGACUGGUACGUCAACGCGUCAAGAGUCAGAGCCAGCAGUCUAAAUCGCGUUAUUUUUACCCUAUCAACCCUCGCGCUGAAUCUUAGGUAGCUGCCGGGCUGGAGUGACUCAUAAUGGGCGUGUCGAGAGAAGUGGGAGGAUGGGGAGAAAUGGGACAAUCAAGAUCAGUGACAGUUGGGUGGAAAGAGAGGAAAUAGCUACUGUGCUUGAAUCUGAAAGUGCGGCAAGUAAAGUGUGUGACAAUUAAUGGAAAAUAGUGGAAUCAAAGAAUGGAACAAAACGAGCAAAAGUUGCAGUAGAAGACAAGGACCUGUCCAAUAAUGCUUUUCUUAUUGGACUGUGUUUUUUGGACAAGGAGAUUUAUUUGGAAAAUCCAUUUGUAAUAUCGAGGACUGUGAAGAAAGCAGUGGAUUGAAUCAAGAGGACCUGAGCCCUAGGACCAUGCCCCAGGACUACCUGACAUGAUGACUCCUUGCUGUCCCCAGUCCACCUGGCCAUGCUGCUGCUCCAGUUUCAACUGUUCUGCCUUACUAUUAUUCGACCAUGCUGGUCAUUUAUGAACAUUUGAACAUCUUGGCCAUGUUCUGUUAUAAUCUCCACCCGGCCCAGCCAGAAGAGGACGGGCCACCCCACAUAUGCUCUCUCUAAUUCUCUCUUUCUUUCUUUCUCUCUCUCGGAGGACCUGAGCCCUAGGACCGUGCCCCAGGACUACCUGACAUGAUGACUCCUUGCUGUCCCCAGUCCACCUGGCCAUGCUGCUGCUCCAGUUUCAACUGUUCUGCCUUGUUAUUAUUCGACCAUGCUGGUCAUUUAUGAACAUUUGAACAUCUUGGCCAUGUUCUGUUAUAAUCUCCACCCGGCACAGCCAGAAGAGGACUGGCCACCCCACAUAGCCUGGUUCCUCUCUAGGUUUCUUCCUAGGUUUUGGCCUUUCUAGGGAGUUUUUCCUAGCCACCGUGCUUCUACACCUGCAUUGCUUGCUGUUUGGGGUUUUAGGCUGGGUUUCUGUACAGCACUUUGAGAUAUCAGCUGAUGUACGAAGGGCGAUAUAAAUACAUUUGAUUUGAUUUGAAAAGCAGGUUGAUUUUGUUUAGUUAAUACAUUUUUUAAAAUAGUUUGUAUGAUAUUUGAUUUAUUUGACCCACAUUAUUUCGUUUUUUGGGAUUCUUAUUAUUCACCUGUACAGUUGGUGGUGAAAUGCACAUGAAAUUGUUGCGAACUCCAUUAUACCAUAGAAGAAGAAGCAUUGACAAUUGGGAUAAUUUGUUGCCAAUCAAUGCAAUUUUUGGGUCUGCUUUGGCCGUUGUGUUUCAGACUUUCAGUGCGUGUUCUUUGGCAGAGAUGACGGUAGGUAUUUUAGCUAACGUAACAUUUUGCUGUUCACUUAGAGCUCUGUAUUUGGUAUAACGUUAGCUAGCUACUAGUAUCUAAACCAAAUCAAAUGUUAUUUGUCACAUGCACCAAAUACAACAAGUGUAGACUGUACUAUGACAUGCUUACUUUACAAGCCCUUAACCAACAAUGCCGUUAAAUAAAUAAAGUUAAGAAAAUA